RNAcentral lists this ribosomal RNA (292 nucleotides) under uncultured bacterium. Its description in RNAcentral is "partial 16S ribosomal RNA". It matches the Rfam family "Bacterial small subunit ribosomal RNA", at positions 505 to 796 of the family's 1533-position model. The record is from RNAcentral.
GUGCCAGCCGCCGCGGUAAUACGGAGGGUGCAAGCGUUAUUCGGAUUUACUGGGCGUAAAGGGAGCGCAGGCUGCCAGAUAAGUCAGCUGUGAAAGCCCGGGGCUCAACCCCGGAAGUGCAUUUGAAACUGUUUGGCUUGAGUAUGGUAGAGGGAAGUGGAAUUCCAGGUGUAGCGGUGAAAUGCGUAGAUAUCUGGAGGAACACCGGUGGCGAAGGCGACUUCCUGGACCAAUACUGACGCUGAGGCUCGAAGGUGUGGGUAGCAAACAGGAUUAGAAACCCGGGUAGUCC